AGAGUUUGAUCAUGGCUCAGAUUGAACGCUGGCGGCAUGCCUUACACAUGCAAGUCGAACGGUAACAGGUCUUCGGAUGCUGACGAGUGGCGAACGGGUGAGUAAUACAUCGGAACGUGCCCGAUCGUGGGGGAUAACGAGGCGAAAGCUUUGCUAAUACCGCAUACGAUCUACGGAUGAAAGCGGGGGAUCUUCGGACCUCGCGCGGACGGAGCGGCCGAUGGCAGAUUAGGUAGUUGGUGGGAUAAAAGCUUACCAAGCCGACGAUCUGUAGCUGGUCUGAGAGGAUGAUCAGCCACACUGGGACUGAGACACGGCCCAGACCCCUACGGGAGGCAGCAGUGGGGAAUUUUGGACAAUGGGCGAAAGCCUGAUCCAGCCAUGCCGCGUGCAGGAUGAAGGCCUUCGGGUUGUAAACUGCUUUUGUACGGAACGAAAAGCCUCUUUCUAAUAAAGAGGGGUCAUGACGGUACCGUAAGAAUAAGCACCGGCUAACUACGUGCCAGCAGCCGCGGUAAUACGUAGGGUGCAAGCGUUAAUCGGAAUUACUGGGCGUAAAGCGUGCGCAGGCGGUUCGGAAAGAAAGAUGUGAAAUCCCAGAGCUUAACUUUGGAACUGCAUUUUUAACUACCGGGCUAGAGUGUGUCAGAGGGAGGUGGAAUUCCGCGUGUAGCAGUGAAAUGCGUAGAUAUGCNGAGGAACACCGAUGGCGAAGGCAGCCUCCUGGGAUAACACUGACGCUCAUGCACGAAAGCGUGGGGAGCAAACAGGGAUUAGAUACCCCUGGGUAGUCCACGCCCUAAACGAUGUCAACUAGCUGUUGGGGCCUUCGGGCCUUGGUAGCGCAGCUNACCCNUGAAGUUGACCGCCCUGGGGGAGUACGGUCCGCAAGAUUAAAACUCNAGAGGAUUGGACGGGGGACCCCGCA
Molecule: ribosomal RNA, 928 nt
Filed under: uncultured Acidovorax sp.
Lineage: Bacteria; Pseudomonadati; Pseudomonadota; Betaproteobacteria; Burkholderiales; Comamonadaceae
Description: bacterial SSU rRNA
Rfam family: Bacterial small subunit ribosomal RNA
Source: RNAcentral